UACGGGAGGCAGCAGUGGGGAAUCUUGCACAAUGGGCGAAAGCCUGAUGCAGCGACGCCGCGUGCGGGAUGAAGGCCUUCGGGUUGUAAACCGCUUUCAGCAGGGACGAGGCCGCAAGGUGACGGUACCUGCAGAAGAAGCCCCGGCUAACUACGUGCCAGCAGCCGCGGUAAU
RNAcentral lists this ribosomal RNA (174 nucleotides) under uncultured bacterium. RNAcentral describes it as "partial 16S ribosomal RNA". It matches the Rfam family "Bacterial small subunit ribosomal RNA", at positions 340 to 524 of the family's 1533-position model. The record is from RNAcentral. RNAcentral also lists the same sequence under 1 other name.